RNAcentral lists this ribosomal RNA (1325 nucleotides) under uncultured Alphaproteobacteria bacterium. Its description in RNAcentral is "bacterial SSU rRNA". It matches the Rfam family "Bacterial small subunit ribosomal RNA", at positions 27 to 1399 of the family's 1533-position model. The record is from RNAcentral. Lineage: Bacteria; Pseudomonadati; Pseudomonadota; Alphaproteobacteria.
GAACGUACGCUGGCGGCACGCCUAACACAUGCAAGUCGAACGAAGUAGCAAUACUUAGUGGCAGACGGGUGAGUAACAUGUAGGUAUCUGCCCUUUGGCCUGGAAUAACACGAGGAAACUUGUGCUAAUACCGGAUAAGUCUUUACGGAGAAAGCUUUAUGCACCAUUGGAUGAGCCUGCACUUGAUUAGUUUGUUGGUGGGGUAAUGGCCUACCAAGACUGUGAUCAAUAGCUGAUUUGAGAGGAUGAUCAGCCACAUUGGGACUGAGACACGGCCCAAACUCCUACGGGAGGCAGCAGUGGGGAAUCUUGCACAAUGGAGGAAACUCUGAUGCAGCGAUGCCGCGUGAGUGAAGAAGGCCCUUGGGUUGUAAAGCUCUUUCGUCGGGGAAGAAAAUGACUGUACCCGAAUAAGAAGGUCCGGCUAACUUCGUGCCAGCAGCCGCGGUAAUACGAAGGGACCUAGCGUAGUUCGGAAUUACUGGGCUUAAAGAGUUCGUAGGUGGUUGAAAAAGUUAGUGGUGAAAUCCCAGAGCUUAACUCUGGAACUGCCAUUAAAACUUUUCAGCUAGAGUAUGAUAGAGGAAAGCAGAAUUUCUAGUGUAGAGGUGAAAUUCGUAGAUAUUAGAAAGAAUACCAAUUGCGAAGGCAGCUUUCUGGAUCAUUACUGACACUGAGGAACGAAAGCAUGGGUAGCGAAGAGGAUUAGAUACCCUCGUAGUCCAUGCCGUAAACGAUGUGUGUUAGACGUUGGAAAUUUAUUUUCAGUGUCGCAGCGAAAGCGAUAAACACACCGCCUGGGGAGUACGACCGCAAGGUUAAAACUCAAAUGAAUUGACGGGGACCCGCACAAGUAGUGGAGCAUGUGGUUUAAUUCGAAGAUACGCGCAGAACCUUACCAACACUUGACAUGUUCGUCGCGACUCUAAGAGAUUAGAGUUUUCGGUUCGGCCGGACGAAACACAGGUGCUGCAUGGCUGUCGUCAGCUCGUGUCGUGAGAUGUUGGGUUAAGUCCCGCAACGAGCGCAACCCUCACUUUUAGUUGCCAUCAUUAAGUUGGGCACUCUGAAAGAACUGCCAGUGAUAAGCUGGAGGAAGGUGGGGAUGACGUCAAGUCCUCAUGGCCCUUACGUGUUGGGCUACACACGUGCUACAAUGGUAUCUACAACAGGAAGCAAGACUGCGAAGUUAAGCAAAUCCCUAAAAGAUACCUCAGUUCGGAUUGCACUCUGCAACUCGAGUGCAUGAAGCUGGAAUUACUAGUAAUCGUGGAUCAGCGUGCCACGGUGAAUGCGUUCCCGGGUCUUGUACACACCGCCCGUCA